Molecule: unclassified non-coding RNA, 2983 nt
Filed under: Hevea brasiliensis (rubber tree)
Lineage: Eukaryota; Viridiplantae; Streptophyta; Magnoliopsida; Malpighiales; Euphorbiaceae
Source: RNAcentral
UUCUUGGACUUGAUAUAUCUCUUGCAAGGAAUCACAAUUAGCUACAGACAAAACCUCUAAUGUCUUGAAAUUGCUCCAGACUCCCUGUGGAAAAACAGUCUCUAGAGCUUUACAAUUUGCAAUAGUCAAUUUUUUUAGUUCGUCAAAGGAACCCGGAGCGACUUGGUUGUGCCAUAACUUCUUUGUAUGGUAACUUCCAAAGAUUUCCAUUUCUUCCAAGGUUGGAAAGGCAAUUACCUUUUCAUCAAAGAGUGGUUCAAUUUCAGUGCAGUUGUCUUCAUCAAGUGGGUUUAAAUAUAGACAGAGAUGCUUCAAAUGUGGAAGAGAUUCCCUUACUGUAUCAUGGAACACACUUCUAAUCCCUUCUGCUAUGACUAAGGAUAGAUCUUCCGUUUUCUUCAACAAUAUUUUAACCCAAUUCUCCAAAUGAAUGCUUCUAUCAAGCCUGAGCUUCAGUAUUCUUGAGAGUUCAUUGUUCCCAUACCAACUCCCCCACUCCCAAUCUCCAAUUUGUAUCCUAUACCUUUUCAAAUUUUUGCAGGGCAAGUUUUUUGGAAACAUCUUGGCAUUUAUUUCCAAAGCAGUCAAUUGAGACAAACAUUCCAACUCAGCAAUGCUUGCAUUUCUUUCCCCGCUGAGCACUUCCUCAUCCCACUUAUUAAAGCUCCCCAUAUACAGUUCUUCUAAUUGAGACAAUCCUGAUAUAACAUUUAAUGGAAUAACUUCUAGACGACCACAACCUCUCAAAUCUAGCAACUGAAGCUGAGUUAAUUGCCCUAUUUCUCUUGGCAACAGUUUAACCACCCUAAAACGUUGAAAAAUAAGUACUCUUAAUUGCUUCAACUCUCCAAUAAUGGACAUAUCAUCUAACAUGCAAGAAAAAAAGCACAAGGCGCGGAGGUUUGUUAAAGAACCAAGUGACCUUGGUAGUGAUUUGAAAUGGAUAUACUUCAAAUGCAAUGCUUUGAGUUUCCGAGUCCCUUCGAAAAAUAAAUCAGGUAUUUUCAAAGAUUCAUCAGUAGUGCCAAGCAUAAGAAACUCAAGCUCAGGGGAUUCCAACCUUUCAGGAAGCUCCUGAAUAUUGCAGUAAGGUAAAUAAAUUCUGGUGCAGCUUUUAAGCCUAUCCUCCUUUGGCCAUUCCUUCAAUUCAACUCCAUCAGAGCUCGUCAACACUUGUUGAGUUCUAGAGGCAAUUAAGACAGCAGUAUCUCGAACAAGGUCAUGCAUUUUCACACAACCUUCCCAAUCACCAUCUUGUAACAAGCAAAAGUCUUUGAGCUCACGGAUAGAUUUACAUGCCAUGUUUCUUGCAUCCUCCACUCUCUCGAUGCCAUUGAAUAAACUCAGAGCUAGGCUGUAACUCACUAAGUUUUCCAUCGGAAUGUUAGAUGUUCGAACCAAACCACAGAGCAAGAAAAAUGACUUCACUUCUUCUUCUUCCAAACUAGUGUAACUCGACUCUAUGGCCUCGUAUGCUGUAAUUUGUCCUUCAUUUUCCCCCCUAGAGAAUUUCUGCAUGGCAACCUUCCAUUCAUUUGACCUUGUUUUUUUCAAACGCUUUGCAACUGUGACAAUUGAGAGGGGCAAACCAGCACACAUUCUGGCAAUUUCAGUUGCCUUAGAUUGCAAUUCAUCAUUUUCAAUCUCACCCACCUCCUUUCGAAAUAAACUCUGUGCCUCAUCUUCCUUCAGGACUUCAAGCUCGAAUUCUUUUUCCGUACCCAUCUCGCGGGAUAAUACAUCACGAUUCCUUGAAGUUAGAAAUAUUUUGCAACCCUUGUGAUCUGUUGCAGAAGGAAUUCCUACUGUCUUCAAAAAAAAUUUUUCCCAAAUAUCAUCCAAGAUGACAAGGAUCUUAUUCUUCUUCAUCAACACCUGAUGUAGCCGCGAUGCUUUGCCAUAUCGAGAUCCUUCUUCCAGUUUCACCCCCAUUACAUCAGCAAUCGUUUUCUGAAUUUCGUCGAUGUCUGGUGUUCGAGACACCGUAGCCAUAACCACCACGUCGAACGAGUCGCCUUCAAAUGCUUUUCUAUAAAUCUCCUUGGCCAGUGUGGUCUUUCCCACACCAGCCAUCCCAUACACCCCUAUCAUGCUAAUUUCAGGAUCCAUUAUUGCAUCCAUAACUAUUUUCAAUAUUAACAAUCUAGAAUUUAUGCCCUCAUGACCGUAGACUGACGGUUCAAUUAACUGCUGUAGAGCUGGACGGUAGGAAAUUGGAUCAAAUCUGCUUCCAUUCUGGAGCUCAGUAAUAGCCAAAGCUUCCUUCUCUGCAUUCUUCCCAAGCUGGUAGCGCUUCUUCAAAUUGGGAAUAAGUCCAUAGCAAUACUUCUCCCUUGCUUGAUCUUCAGUAGUAAUAACAUUCUCAGCCUCUUCAAUGGCCAAUUUUGCAUCAGUCAACCACUUUUUAACUCCAGGCAUGAUCUCGUCUCCCCUCCCUGUAGCUUGAUCAACAUACAGCUGCAAAUCUUCUCUUUCAGUGGUCAACUUCUCAACCUGCUUCUUGAGUGUUUCAACCUUGCUCUUGAAGGUGAAUGCGUAACCGAUGCGUCGUUUAAUUGGGGCAAGAACGUAUUCUUUGAUGGGAUCAACAGCCAAGCCGCUGAAUAUUUUUAGAAUUGUCUCCCAAGCCAUUUCAGAUAGAGUCCUACACAGGACACAGAAGUAACGGUAAAUAGUGUGAAACCGUGAAUUUGAGAGUGAAGAGCGAAACAAAGUGAGAAAGGUAAUGGAUAAUAAACAAGAGAACGGAGGAAAAUUGGAGGUAAUGAGUAGCUGAAAUAAAGGAUGUAUAUGGUAGAUAAGAGAGAGAAAGGAAUGGCAAAAGAAGAAAGCUGAUACGAAGAGAAGGGAAAGAAGAUGAGUUCUGUAUGAGGAGCUAAAAGCAAGUGAGGUGAAGAGAAAGAAAGCAGAAACUCAAUAAAGAGAAAGGGAAAAUGCGUGUAGUCUUAUUAAGGAGUAAUCAUAAAACCGUUUAAUUCUUUUU